RNAcentral lists this ribosomal RNA (439 nucleotides) under uncultured bacterium. RNAcentral describes it as "bacterial SSU rRNA". It matches the Rfam family "Bacterial small subunit ribosomal RNA", at positions 954 to 1392 of the family's 1533-position model. The record is from RNAcentral.
GCAUAACGCGAAGAACCUUACCAAGGCUUGACAUACACGAGAACGGGCCAGAAAUGGUCAACUCUUUGGACACUCGUGAACAGGUGGUGCAUGGUUGUCGUCAGCUCGUGUCGUGAGAUGUUGGGUUAAGUCCCGCAACGAGCGCAACCCUCGUCCUAUGUUGCCAGCACGUAAUGGUGGGAACUCAUGGGAGACUGCCGUGGUCAACACGGAGGAAGGUGGGGAUGACGUCAAAUCAUCAUGCCCCUUAUGUCUUGGGCUUCACGCAUGCUACAAUGGCCGGUACAAAGGGCUGCAAUACCGCAAGGUGGAGCGAAUCCCAAAAAGCCGGUCUCAGUUCGGAUUGGGGUCUGCAACUCGACCCCAUGAAGUUGGAGUCGCUAGUAAUCGUAGAUCAGCAACGCUACGGUGAAUACGUUCCCGGGUCUUGUACACACCG